RNAcentral lists this ribosomal RNA (108 nucleotides) under Rotylenchus conicaudatus. RNAcentral describes it as "partial 5.8S ribosomal RNA". It matches the Rfam family "5.8S ribosomal RNA", at positions 1 to 107 of the family's 154-position model. From Rfam's summary of the family: 5.8S ribosomal RNA (5.8S rRNA) is a component of the large subunit of the eukaryotic ribosome. It is transcribed by RNA polymerase I as part of the 45S precursor that also contains 18S and 28S rRNA. Functionally, it is thought that 5.8S rRNA may be involved in ribosome translocation. Lineage: Eukaryota; Metazoa; Nematoda; Chromadorea; Rhabditida; Hoplolaimidae. The record is from RNAcentral.
UUUUAGCCUUAUCGGUGGAUCACUCGGCUCGUAGGUCGAUGAAGAACGCAGCCAACUGCGAUAAGUAGUGUGAACUGCAGAAACCUUGAACACAGAACAUUCGAAUGC